RNAcentral lists this ribosomal RNA (333 nucleotides) under uncultured bacterium. RNAcentral's name for it is "bacterial SSU rRNA". It matches the Rfam family "Bacterial small subunit ribosomal RNA", at positions 568 to 898 of the family's 1533-position model. The record is from RNAcentral.
CGUGUAGGCGGGGAUGCAAGUCAGAUGUGAAAUUCCAUGGCUUAACUGUGGGACUGCAUCUGAAACUGUGUUUCUUGAGUGCCGGAGAGGGAAGCGGAAUUCCAAGUGUAGCGGUGAAAUGCGUAGAUAUUUGGAGGAACACCAGUGGCGAAGGCGGCUUUCUGGACGGUAACUGACGCUGAGGCGCGAAAGCGUGGGGAGCAAACAGGAUUAGAUACCCUGGUAGUCCACGCUGUAAACGAUGGAUACUAGGUGUAGGGGGUAUCGACCCCCCCCUGUGCCGGAGUUAACACAAUAAGUAUCCCACCUGGGGAGUACGGCCGCAAGGUUGAA